This 70-nucleotide transfer RNA is filed under the name Heliaster helianthoides. RNAcentral's name for it is "tRNA-Pro". Lineage: Eukaryota; Metazoa; Echinodermata; Asteroidea; Forcipulatida; Heliasteridae. The record is from RNAcentral.
CAGAAGAUAGUUUAAUUAAAACUGUAGCUUUGGGGGUUACUAAUGCAAGUAUGAAUUCUUGUUCUUUUGA